RNAcentral lists this long non-coding RNA (639 nucleotides) under Cucumis sativus (cucumber). RNAcentral's name for it is "long non-coding RNA (CSAT_LNC000422)". The record is from RNAcentral. Lineage: Eukaryota; Viridiplantae; Streptophyta; Magnoliopsida; Cucurbitales; Cucurbitaceae.
CAGCAACUAUCAUUUUAGAUUGUCCAACUAUGUGAAAAAAAUAUUUGAAUGGCAUCAUACUUAGAACUCUGUAAUUCAAUUCCUUUGCAGAGAAGAUAACAGUUCUUGUUGUAUAAGUUUCCAGUGUUCUAAUCUCUCACUUCUACAGCAACUGAGAUUCUCUUCACUAUAAAGUUCCACUUUUCUUAGGUUCUUAGAUAGUACAUAUAUGGCACUAAAUCUAGUAAAUAUUGGAAGCAAAAAAUAAUUCGUCUUCUAAUUGCAUUUUAAGUCAAGAAAGGUUGAAGGUUCUUUAGUGACUUGCCGAUAAGCUUUGCAGCCUCUUCUGGUGUAUCAACACGACAAGGUGCCUGGAUUUUGUACAUCCAUGAACAAAAACAAAACAGAAAGAAUAAUUUUAGUUUCAAAUAAUAAAAACGCUGGCCCAACAUGUGGCAUGAGUGAAGAUAACCACAAACUUAAGAUGAUCUUCAAUUAUACCAUCAUAAAUGAGUGAAAGUAUACCUGGAAUUUGGUACCAUCUAGACUAAAUUGAGAAAGUGGAGUAACAUUUUGCCUUUGAUAAAUAAUAGAUUACCAAGCCAUUAGAGAUUUGUGGAGAUCUAGAAGGCAAAAAGAAGUUCCGCAUUUCAAUACCUU